Molecule: ribosomal RNA, 254 nt
Filed under: uncultured bacterium
Lineage: Bacteria
Description: partial small subunit ribosomal RNA
Rfam family: Bacterial small subunit ribosomal RNA
Source: RNAcentral
AGGACGAACGCUGGCGGCGUGCUUAACACAUGCAAGUCGAGCGGAAAGGCCCUUCGGGGUACUCGAGCGGCGAACGGGUGAGUAACACGUGAGUAACCUGCCCCUAGCUCUGGGAUAGCUCCGGGAAACCGGGAUUAAUACCAGAUACGACCACUUUAGACAUCUGUCGUGGUGGAAAGGAUUCCGGCUAGGGAUGGGCUCGCGGCCUAUCAGCUUGUUGGUGGGGUAAUGGCCUACCAAGGCGACGACGGGUA